This 1657-nucleotide long non-coding RNA is filed under the name Rattus norvegicus (Norway rat). RNAcentral describes it as "long non-coding RNA NONRATT013834". Lineage: Eukaryota; Metazoa; Chordata; Mammalia; Rodentia; Muridae. The record is from RNAcentral.
UGUAUGGCUCUGAGGAAGAGCCUGUACUGUAGUCUUUGACCCUUAGCUUUGGCCAAUGCAGUCUCCAGAAUCUUCCCGUUCCUUCCAUACACGCAUGCCUUGGGGGCGGCAGCUAAGCACACAACCAUUGGCCUUCAUCAUACUAAGCUCCCAUGCUCUUUCCUCCAACACUAUUCUCCACCGCCUGGCAAAUGAAGUGUGUGUUGAAAAGAACCUAGGCCAUGACCCAUGUCCAGGCUCCGGCUUGACCGUCGGCUCCUGGCACCAAGUCUCAGGCAGGAGCAGCUGUUUUCCACCUCUUCUCAGACUAGCUCUAUUUUUAUCUGGUGACCUUUAACGAGAUCUCCCAGGCAAGCUCAAGGUGCCCUGCUGGGCCCCUCUAGGGAGAAGGGGCUGGAAGUUUCUCCCGAGGCUCUGCCGUGCUGCUUUCUCUACCCCACCCAGCUCAGGGUGUCUAGAAUAUCUCUUCGGCCAGGGCAGAGCAAAGUGUAAAGUUCCCUGGGGCCAUGGGUCUCAAGAAUCCCAGACCCAUGCUUUUCUGGGAUCAUUGAUGGCUAGUUUUAGGUUUUCAAAACCGGGAAGAGACGAGAUGGCAGUCUAACACGGCUACCCUAGUCUAGGGUGUAUUACCUAUUUGGAAAGGGGUCCAUGUUGCAGAAUAUGCAAGUCAUGCCCAGGAUGCGCGGAGGAGACUCCGGUAUUGGGUAGAGUUGACUCCUGACCUCUGAGGAUUCUUGAAACUCACUCCAUAGUAUUAGAAAGCAAGGGAGGGUGAAGGGGGAGGUUCACAGGGCUUGAAUUCAGAGACAAACAUGGGUGGGCAGUCAAGGGGCUACUCCAGUAUGGGGCUGCCAUAGUGUCUAUAUUAUGCGCAGAAGAAUGGGUAUUGUUAUAUUCAUUGUCUUCACAUCUCUCUCUGGCCUGGCUCAUACCUGUAUCAGCCUUUGAGGCAUCUGUCCCCUUAACCUCAGUGACUCUGAUACCAGUCCCCAAGAGUGAGUCGGGGAAGAAUAGCUGAGUUCUGUGGUUUUCAUAGUCGAUGGACGGUAUCCCUUGAGAUUCCGAGCAGCAGCUUCAGAAUUCAGAGCCUGGGGAUGGGGGUGCUGGAGUUUGAUGAGGCACGCAUAUAUGUAGGUGGGGAAAAAAAUACCAGGAUGUUGUUAAAGGUAAGGGAUGAUGCGAUUUGGGGAUAAUUAAUAGAUUUACCCACAUAUCAGGGUGAUCUAGAGCCCCUUAGGAAGGCUAGGGGAAGCUAGGGUCAGGAUGGAAUAAAGUCAGGGUUGGAAUAGACAAGUGAUCUUGGUAGGUCCCUAUUGCCCGUGGGUUAACCAGGCCCUGGGAAAUGAGAGAGUACUUAGGUCCUACCUGGGGCAGCGUCCCUUGUAGCUAAGGAGUCCCAGGCUACGAUGCCUCCAGGAGAAGAGACCCUAUUAGAUAUCUAGUCAAUGCUGUGGCAUACACAGAUCAGCUUCUACCUGCAUUUCCUCAGAGAACCAGCAGGAGUCAGCUUUGAGAAACUACAGUUGUUUCUGCAGUUGUCAUAGCGACCACCUUCUCACUUAAAUAGUCUUCUCUAAAACCCACGACAGCUUGCCUGUAUCCUGCCUCGUGCCUCUUGUAGAAUUCAGAGCAAUAAAUGCGUUCUGCAUUCUUCUGC